RNAcentral lists this ribosomal RNA (404 nucleotides) under uncultured Rubellimicrobium sp. RNAcentral describes it as "bacterial SSU rRNA". It matches the Rfam family "Bacterial small subunit ribosomal RNA", at positions 355 to 776 of the family's 1533-position model. Lineage: Bacteria; Pseudomonadati; Pseudomonadota; Alphaproteobacteria; Rhodobacterales; Roseobacteraceae. The record is from RNAcentral.
UGGGGAAUCUUAGACAAUGGGCGCAAGCCUGAUCUAGCCAUGCCGCGUGGGUGAUGAAGGCCUUAGGGUCGUAAAGCCCUUUCGCCGGGGAAGAUAAUGACGGUACCCGGUAAAGAAACCCCGGCUAACUCCGUGCCAGCAGCCGCGGUAAUACGGAGGGGGUUAGCGUUGUUCGGAAUGACUGGGCGUAAAGCGCGCGUAGGCGGAUCAGGAAGUUGGGGGUGAAAUCCCGUGGCUCAACCCCGGAAUGGCCUUCAAAACUCCUGGUCUUGAGUUCGAGAGAGGUGAGUGGAAUUCCGAGUGUAGAGGUGAAAUUCGUAGAUAUUCGGAGGAACACCAGUGGCGAAGGCGGCUCACUGGCUCGACACUGACGCUGAGGUGCGAAAGCGUGGGGAGCAAACAGG